Long non-coding RNA from Macrobrachium nipponense, 2546 nucleotides. RefSeq lists it as uncharacterized. Lineage: Eukaryota; Metazoa; Arthropoda; Malacostraca; Decapoda; Palaemonidae. The record is from RefSeq and is a predicted model, not a curated record. The transcript is spliced from 3 exons.
GGGAACUCCUCGUGACAGGUGGUGUUAGUGUGUAAGAAACUCCUCGGCUUCUGGGAAGAAUUAAUUCAGAAAGGAAACAGAAAAGUCCAAUAUAUGUUUGUUAUUUUAGGCCUAAAUAUUAGACAUCUGUAUAUUGAGGGCUUGUCUGGUGAAUUUCGACUGCAAUUUGUGAAGCAGUUGUGGGCACAAAAGGCCAUGGACAUGUUAGCCAUUCUUCAAAACGAAAAGGAAACCUCGCCAAAGAAUAACUCGAAAUCAAAACUAAUGAGAUCAAGAUAACCAGAUGGAUGCAAGGCAACGGAACAUAGUACAUACUGUUGAUAAAAAGGUUACUGGCAUAUGUGUGCAAAGUUAAGAAUUAGCCCUUAGCACCAAGCGAUCGUUGGGCAGAGAUCUUCACAAAAUUAUUUCAGUGCUGCUCAAGGAAGGAGAUGGCCAUUCUGGCUUAUGGUCAGCUUCAUCCAAUAGGCAGAUGUCACGUUUGGCCGGAUCUUUCACAGACCUUUUCGUGCAAAGUUUUAUGGGAAGAAUUGCUUGAGCAUCAAGCAGUUUAUCUAAAGUGUUGAGGUAUAGGUUUCUGUUAUUGAAUUUCAAGGUAAAGGAAAUUGUUUUAUGAAACACACCACAGAUCAGAAAGAGAAAUGCAUGAAAAAGUAACUUAGUAAGUUAUUUUACCCGGCUCUUGAAUAUAAUUCAACAAAGUUGCUAAAAAUUUGGAUGUGGUUCCAUUCUACAGAGGAAAAGAAGCUCAUAAGUUUAAUGUCGACAUUGCUGUACUGUUGAAUCGUAAGUUGAAGUUCUCUUCUAGAAGAUGUAGAUGAACUGGAAAGAAAGAAUAAAGGCCUGUAGGCCCCCACCCCAAGGGGGCUGAUCUUGCAAGACAACUCUGGUGCUACUUGAGCCUUCCCUUCUGUUACCCUGCUACCAGAGGUCAUAUUAUAGGAGUCCGAGUCGAGAGCAGCUCUCAUGACAUGGUUUGUCACUUUUCUAAAAAUGUAAAUAUAGUUACUGUAUUUGAAAACUCUUUGGUUACUGGAGGCAUUUUGUCACUUGGACAUCUUUCAGUUGGGUAAUAUUUACUAGAUAGAUAUCUUGAAUCUGCUUCAUAAGAUUAUAGAUAGCUGUAGCUUAAGACAGAUGUUUGAAAUUUGUUUUCUUAUUGAUAGAUUUUUUUUACUUUGAUGAUUUAGAAUCCUCAAAGGUGUUCUAACUGUCACAGAGACAAAUCUUGGACAAGGGACUUGAAUGAAGGUCACAUAGUUGUAACUAGCUCUGGUGCCAUUUUUCAAAUACUAAUGCUUAACUAAUAUCGAGCAGCGCCUCAGUAGCGUGAACGGUAUGGUCUUGGCCUGCCACCUCGGUGGCUGCAGUUAGAUUCUUGGGCAUUCCAUGGAGGUGUGAGAGAUGUGUAUUUCUGGUGGUAGAAGGGCGCACUCGGUGUGGUUCAGAAGUCACGUAAAGCCGUUGGUCCCGUUGCUGAAUAACCACUGGUUCCAUGCAACAUAAAAUCACCAUACAAACAAACAAAAAUUGAGCAAGGUUGCCUUUCAAAUUAUUACUGAUGAGGAAUCAAAUGGAUUUAGAUUUUUUGAAGCUUUUCCAUUAAUCUAAGGUCAUUUUUUGGCAACGCAUUGCAGUCUCUUUGAAGAACUUUUGCUGUUGGUCAUACUCACAUAAUGACAGCCUAGUAGAAUACCUGAAAAGUAUUGUUCUAAAAGAGUUCUUUAAAGUAGUUGAGUAACUUUACCAUGCAAGUAGAAGGCUUAUGUUUUAUCCGAUUGUUUUUCAUUUAAUUAGUUUUGUUGUAGUAUAAGAUAAUUACUAUAGUGAUUGCAGCCUCAUAUUUAUAACUAAAUUAAUUAAUUACGGUGAAAUAUUAACGUAUUUUAGGGGUAAUAUAUAUCCCUUAAUUUGAUCCGAAGAGGGACACUUUACGUGUGUACUUAGUUGCACUAAAGAAUUUGAGAAUGCUGUAUUGAUUUAUGAUGAGAAUGGACUUUAAAUUUUUUUUUUUUUAUACCAUUACAUUUGUGGAACCACUGUAAAGCAGAAUGAAUUUCAUUAAUUCUGGGGCCUUUUUAGUUUGAUUGUAUCCUGUUACUUCCUAUAGAAAGAAGGUCUGUAUCACUUCAUUGUGUUAUUGACCAAAGACUACUGAACAAAAUAUGCAAGUGGUUGCAUCAUUUCACCCAGAACUGGUGAAAUGAUACCUUUCAUUUUCUUAAAUUAUCUCUACAUGUAUCAUUAUUUCCUAAUAAUCUGUAUCAAAGCAUAGAACAGAUGGCUACAACAAUUCUGAAGAUGAUUCAUAUAAUUCUAGAACUCACGUUACCAUUCACUGUUUCUAAUCGGAAAGACUGUAGAGUUCCAGAAAGUGGGGUAUGGAUUAUUAUCAUUUUAUAAGUGUCACGAAUGCUAUCCAUACUGUUGUCAUUGGGUGUAUUUCUGGAGAUGGGAAAUUAAGUUUUGAUGGUAGUAGUGUACAGAUAGACUUUUCUGAAGCUGAAUUGUUUUUCUUAUAAAUGUUAUUGGGAAAAUAUUUGGAA